Camelina sativa (false flax) is the source of this 1544-nucleotide long non-coding RNA. RefSeq lists it as uncharacterized. NCBI's taxonomy places the organism in Eukaryota, Viridiplantae, Streptophyta, Magnoliopsida, Brassicales, Brassicaceae. The record is from RefSeq and is a predicted model, not a curated record.
AUGAUGAUUUAUCAUGAUUUCUCUGUUUUCUUACGGUUCGAUUCUCGUGUGUGCGACAACGUUUUUUGUAACUCUUUGCUUCUCCUCGAUUCCAUAACCUUUGAACAAUCGCAUCAAGUUUUCGGAUGAUGAUGAUGAUGCUUAGUUGAUGAUGAUGCUGAUGCUUUCUCUUGUUUUUAUGGUUCGAUUCUCGUGUGUGUGAAAGAUUAUGUGUAUCUUGCCUCUUUCUCUCGGUUCGAUUCCAUAACCUUUGAACAAUCGUUUAGAUACAUGAAGUUUUCUGAUGAUGAAGGUGAUGAUGAUGAUGAUGAUGUUGAUGUUGAUGAUGAUGCUUCGUUGACGAUGAUUAAUUGAUGAUGCGUAACUGUUGUUGAUGAUGACCAUGAUCAUGUUUUCUCUGUUUUUUACGGUUCGAUUCUCGUGUGUGUGAGAACGUUUAUGUAACUAUUUGCUUCUUUCUCUCGAUUCGAUUCUAUAACCUGAGAACUAAUCGCAUGAAGUUUUCGGAUGAUGAUGAUUACUUGAUGAUGAUGCUGAUGCUUUCUCCGUUUUUUGUGGUUCGAUUCUCGUGUGUGCGAAAGAUUUUGUGUGUCUUUGCUUCUUCUCUGGAUUCGAUUCCAUAACCUGGUUCUAGAUCACUAUAACAUCACAAUAACAUCUUUGAUUCAUUAAUUUGGUUCACAUUGAUUCUUCCUCUCUCAUCCUCUGUUUUGUUUUUUACAUUCCCUUUGGCUUAGUAACGUUGGUUUUUGAUGUUUUUCUCUUGGCAGGUGGCCGAUAUGCCUCUUUUCAAUUUCAAAGAGUACAUUGAUGGAUACUCAGGACGUGUUAAGCUGUUGAGGAUUCACCACUUGGUGAAAAAUGGACUCUUGGAUGAAGAGGAUGAGCUCAAGGCUUUGAAGAUAUCAUUUGAUGAGCUCACAGUUGGGACACCUAAUUGGAGAAUUUCUACGGAUUCUAAGUUGCUAUAGGCUGUCUCCACACUUAUCAAUGGAAGAUUAGGCCCACACUACACAACAACUCUGGAAACCGUCAAGAAUAUGAAUUUGGUCUACAAUGAACUAGUUGACAAUCUAACAUGUCCCUUGAGACUGAAGCUUGCUCGUGAAGAAGAAAAUGAAGAUGCUGAGAAGCAAGCGGAGAUACAACGCAUGACCCAUGUUCAUGGAUAGUUUCAGUACCGUAGUGGUUAUCCCUUGGAAGCUUACAACACUCUAAGUAAGAUCCAUGCGUCUAUUUUUCUUAUGAUUUCGGUAUUCGAGUGCCAAAAGUUCGAGGAUGUUUGCCGAUACAUUCCCAAAACUAGUGGCGAUGGUACUAGAAGAUUUCAUUUCAAAUCAAUAUGUGUCCGAGCCUUAGCACACAUGGCUAGAGGAUGUGGAGAUCACUACUACACGGCCGCUCGUUUGUUUGAUCAUUUGAUCAAGUUCUCUAAUAAAUGGAAAACGACAACACUGCUAGUGCUUGUGACAAAAUGGUGAAGAUAAAAUGCCUUUUAGAAAAAUCAUAGAUGCUAAAGUUGUUGGGAUUAAAGCUUCCAUGAU